This 497-nucleotide ribosomal RNA is filed under the name uncultured bacterium. RNAcentral describes it as "partial 16S ribosomal RNA". It matches the Rfam family "Bacterial small subunit ribosomal RNA", at positions 28 to 507 of the family's 1533-position model. The record is from RNAcentral.
GAUGAACGCUGGCGGCGUGCCUAAUACAUGCAAGUCGAGCGAACAGAUGAGGAGCUUGCUCCUCUGACGUUAGCGGCGGACGGGUGAGUAACACGUGGAUAACCUACCUAUAAGACUGGGAUAACUUCGGGAAACCGGAGCUAAUACCGGAUAAUAUAUUGAACCGCAUGGUUCAAUAGCGAAAGACGGUUUUGCUGUCACUUAUAGAUGGAUCCGCGCCGCAUUAGCUAGUUGGUAAGGUAACGGCUUACCAAGGCAACGAUGCGUAGCCGACCUGAGAGGGUGAUCGGCCACACUGGAACUGAGACACGGUCCAGACUCCUACGGGAGGCAGCAGUAGGGAAUCUUCCGCAAUGGGCGAAAGCCUGACGGAGCAACGCCGCGUGAGUGAUGAAGGUCUUCGGAUCGUAAAACUCUGUUAUUAGGGAAGAACAAAUGUGUAAGUAACUAUGCACGUCUUGACGGUACCUAAUCAGAAAGCCACGGCUAACUUCGUG